AGAGCGAACGCUGGCGGCAGGCCUAAUACAUGCAAGUCGAGCGGUCCCUUCGGGGGGCAGCGGCGGACGGGUGAGUAACGCGUGGGAACGUGCCCUUUGGUACGGAACAACUGAGGGAAACUUCAGCUAAUACCGUAUGUGCCCUUCGGGGGAAAGAUUUAUCGCCAUUGGAGCGGCCCGCGUUGGAUUAGGUGGUUGGUGAGGUAAAGGCUCACCAAGCCUACGAUCCAUAGCUGGCUGAGAGGAUGAUCAGCCACACUGGGACUGAGACACGGCCCAGACUCCUACGGGAGGCAGCAGUAGGGAAUCUUGCGCAAUGGGCGAAAGCCUGACGCAGCCAUGCGCGUGAAUGAUGAAGGUCUUAGGAUUGUAAAAUUCUUUCACCGGGGACGAUAAUGACGGUACCCGGAGAAGAAGCCCCGCUAACUUCGUGCCAGCAGCCGC
RNAcentral lists this ribosomal RNA (444 nucleotides) under uncultured soil bacterium. Its description in RNAcentral is "bacterial SSU rRNA". It matches the Rfam family "Bacterial small subunit ribosomal RNA", at positions 26 to 518 of the family's 1533-position model. The record is from RNAcentral.